RNAcentral lists this ribosomal RNA (1144 nucleotides) under uncultured fungus. RNAcentral describes it as "eukaryotic LSU rRNA". The stretch from base 516 to 1144 matches the Rfam family "Eukaryotic large subunit ribosomal RNA", at positions 1 to 649 of the family's 3401-position model. Lineage: Eukaryota; Fungi. The record is from RNAcentral.
AAGUCGUAACAAGGUUUCCGUUGGUGAACCAGCGGAAGGAUCAUUACUGAGAUCAUGCCCUUAACGGGGUAGACCUCCCACCCUGUGUUAUUACGAUUGUUGCUUUGGCAGGCCGCCCUCGGGCGCUCGGCUUCGGCUGAGGCGUGCCUGCCAGAAGACCCAAACCCUGUAUUUAGUGUUGUCCGAGUACUAUUUUAAUACGUUAAAACUUUCAACAACGGAUCUCUUGGUUCUGGCAUCGAUGAAGAACGCAGCGAAAUGCGAUAAGUAAUGUGAAUUGCAGAAUUCAGUGAAUCAUCGAAUCUUUGAACGCACAUUGCGCCCCUUGGUAUUCCGGGGGGCAUGCCUGUUCGAGCGUCAUUUCAACCCUCAGGCUCCGGCUUGGUCUUGGGCUCUGCCGGUUACGGCUUGCCUUAAAAUCAGUGGCGGUGGCAGUCGAGCUCUACGCGUAGUAGCUAUAUUUUCGCGAUUGAGUCUCGCUGUGCGCUGGCCAGCAACCCCUAAUUUUCUAUGGUUGACCUCGGAUCAGGUAGGGAUACCCGCUGAACUUAAGCAUAUCAAUAAGCGGAGGAAAAGAAACCAACCGGGAUUACCUCAGUAACGGCGAGUGAAGCGGUAACAGCUCAAAUUUGAAAUCUGGCCUCGGCCCGAGUUGUAAUUUGUAGAAGAUGCUUCGGGUGUGGCUCCGGUCUAAGUUCCUUGGAACAGGACGUCAUAGAGGGUGAGAAUCCCGUAUGUGACUGGGUGCCUCCGCCUGUGUGAAGCUCUUUCGACGAGUCGAGUUGUUUGGGAAUGCAGCUCAAAAUGGGUGGUAUAUUUCAUCUAAAGCUAAAUAUUGGCCAGAGACCGAUAGCGCACAAGUAGAGUGAUCGAAAGAUGAAAAGCACUUUGGAAAGAGAGUUAAACAGUACGUGAAAUUGUUGAAAGGGAAGCGUUUGCAACCAGACUUGCGCGCUGCCGAUCAUCCGGUGUUCUCACCGGUGCACUCGGUUGCGUUCAGGCCAGCAUCGGUUUGGGUGGCUGGAUAAAGGCCUUGGGAAUGUAGCUUCUUUCGGGGAGUGUUAUAGCCCUGGGUGCAAUGCAGCCUACCUGGACCGAGGACCGCGCUUCGGCUAGGAUGCUGGCGUAAUGGUUGUAAACGACC